AUAUACAUGAUGAUGCCAAAUUGGCGGCACGGUGGGCGACCGGUUAGAGCGUCUGCCUCACAGUUCUGAGGACCCGGGUUCAAUCCCCGGCCUCGCCUGUGUGGAGUUUGCGUGUUCUCCCCGUGCCUGCGUGGGUUUUCUCCGGGCACUCCGCUUUCCUCCCACAUCCCAAAAACAUGCAUUCAUUGGAGACUCGAAAUUGCCAAUGGCAGGGCACAUACAAACAAACAACCGUUCGCACUCACAGUCACGCCUACGGGCAAUUUAGACGCUCUAACCAGUCGGUCACCGUGCCGCCGUAUUUAAAUAUAAAAUGUUGAAUUCUCGGCUUUUUGUGUCAGUUUUAUAGGAAGCUUCAACUGGGAGUGACAGGUAAACAGCUUGAAGCAAGUACGCUUUGGCUGUUAUUUCGAAAACUGCGAGCGAUAUUGGCAACGAAGGAAUACUUUGAAAAGUACUCCUCAUAGUAUUACUAAUACUACUCAGGAAUACAUUGAGGGCGGCAGCAACGACUCCAGCGAGGAAGGGAUGAAAAAACCCAAAAACAGCGUGUUUUAGGGCCCCUCCCCUGAGGAAAAUUCGUAUUGAAAACAUUUUUUACAACUUCUUGACUUCUAAAACGAGACGCUCGUCAGUGAAACACCUUUUUACGACACAUCCCUGGAGAAAGAUUUGCAUUUCAAACAUUUUCUUUUACGCGCGGACUUCAAGUUUUUCGCGGCUUUAAUGCAACUGUCAGUUGUGGCCUCGCAGCGAGAGUAUGAAAGUGUUUCGACGUGCCGUUGGCUUAAAGAGAGUAAACGUGGUUGGCCUUUGUGACUCAGUUCAAGGGGAUUCUUCAGGAAAGACAAAUGAGUCUCCGGGGGGCUGGCAAAGAGACAAGCAGACAAGCACAAAUGAGCUCUCAAUCAGCUCCGACAGAGCUUCAAUCAUUGCUUUCCUGUUUCAUGAUCACUCGCCAAACCUCGCUGACACCCAAGGAACAAAACGAAACAUCAGCUGACCCAAGCCUCCAUGUGGCGGUAAAUAAAAUGUUAGCCUAACGGCAUAACUGUCAUUUUUAUUUUACUGUCACAAUAGCAAUAAAGAAUACUAACGUGCUUGCUAAAAAUGUACUUUGAUUUUGUACUUUUUUAACGUCUGUGUAGAUCAGGGGUGUGCAACUUAAAUGACGGAAGGGGGCAACAGAGAGAGGGUCUCUGCUGACCUUGUUAGGAAAUGUACUACUUUGAAUGGGCUCAAGAAACUUCAUUGAAAAAACGAUUGAACCUGGAAAACGUGUUCAGGACAAUUAACUAAUUCACUGUACAUUGGUCAUUUACUGCCACCGACGUAUGCAUUCAUCAAGCUUUUCAAAGGGUUGGUGUGGUAGAGGGUCUCGCCCUGCUUGUCUGCGAAACUCAGGUUUGUAAACAGCGGUAAUGACUAACAGAUCCCAAUAGAUGGCGGCGUUGCUUCGCUUUGGAUUUGAGAUUAGCCCAGUUUUUGAGUCGACUAGAAAGAUUAGGUAGCUAACAUCAGUUGGUCACGUCGACUACGACGGAGAGAAAUGUCAAGUUGUCGAAAGUCUUGACAGGUUUAAGCACCUCACACGUGAACAAGAGUUCGUAUAUAUCCCGGCUCCGACUGUCGAAGUGUCCUUGGCGAAGACACUGAACCCUAAUUUGCUCCCAAUGGGCCUGGCAUCGCCUUGCGUGGCAGCAGUCGCCCAUUUGUCUCUGAAUGUGUGUGUGUGAAUGUGAGGCUUUGUGAAGCGCUUUGGGCACCGUGAUGGCGUCGAUAAAGCGCAGUCCAUUUAACGUGUGUGUGUAUAGUAUAAACGGAGUAUGUGUCUCGGUAGUUAGAGUGAACGACGAGCGCCGUGUAAAAAAAUCCACUGACGUUCAACUCGACUCAACUUUCCUCCGUUGUAUAUCUGUAAAUAAAUGCGAAUUUUGCCAUCAAAAGCCCUUUCUCAGUCUUGGUUUUGUUGUUUUAUAGACUACGCCCCUGUGUGACUUGGAGCACUUUUUUAUGCGCAAUUACGCUCGUUGGUGCUGGCAGGUGCUUGAAAGCCUCACCAAGGACGAGAAAUGGUCGCUAACACAUGGGCGCCCUUGACGUGAGCGCAGCCGUCACACUUUUAAUGACACGACACGCCACUCUGAUGCGUUUUGAAGUGGCCGUCAAUGGGGGAAAAAGGAAUUGAUAUUUAUUUGUGCCUGGCGUGUGAUAUAUGGCACCCUUAAAGCGCUCGCUGCUAUUUACGGCGGGCUUUGUCAAUAGAAUCACACCGCGGCCUCGCACGCCAGACGGGAGGCUGGAAAGCAUUUUUAUGAAUGGACUGGAGCACAAGGGGAGGUUUUGUACAGACAUGGAACGUUAUGAACAUGUCGUAUCAUCCAAAAUUCUCACGCUUGUCAGUGUUAUCACCAUAUUGCUUCAGGUCAAAUGAAUCCAAAUUACGAUGCACUUUCCGCAGUUAAUG
This is a long non-coding RNA of Phyllopteryx taeniolatus (common seadragon), 2467 nucleotides long. RefSeq lists it as uncharacterized. The transcript is spliced from 3 exons. NCBI's taxonomy places the organism in Eukaryota, Metazoa, Chordata, Actinopteri, Syngnathiformes, Syngnathidae. The record is from RefSeq and is a predicted model, not a curated record.